GUCACCCGGUCUGAUAAAUGCCGUGACUUGGUAACCUGUAAUUUCUCUUGGCUCAGACCAUCUCUCGAUAAUCGUCUCCAUAAGCAUGUCGCCCGAUUUCAUAACUUCUGAACGCCGCACUUUCCUUAACCAUGAUCUCCGUCGUACCAACGAUCCUAGAAUCAGUGAUUUGACAGUGGAAGUCAACCGGUUGGUACAGGAGCAUAAGAGAAAAAAAGUGGCUAGACCAUCUGAAGUGUUGCAACAUUGGAACCGAUAUGAGUAAGCUGUGGGUAAGGGUUAAGUCGCUUUCGAACCCUGGAAAAAGGAUAAUAUGACCUCAGUCACUUUUAACGACGUAACGGUGACUGAUCCGAAGAGGUGCGCGGAGUAUUUCAACCGACAAUUUGUCGUGCACCCCGAGAGCGAUAGGGCGAAGCGAAGAGUACUACGUCGUAUCAAAUCUCUUCCCGCCGAGGAGGAACCACCACAGUGUACGAUGGGUGAUGUUGCAAAUGUCAUCCGUAACGCUAAGUCAUCCAAAGCGUUGGGCCCGGACGGAAUCUCAAUGGUAAUGUUGAAGCAGCAGGAUACGCCGGGAGUCGAGUACUUUACGAAAGCGCGGAGUAUUUCAACCGACAAUUUGUCGUGCACCCCGAGAGCGAUAGGGCGAAGCGAAGAGUACUACGUCGUAUCAAAUCUCUUCCCGCCGAGGAGGAACCACCACAGUGUACGAUGGUCAUCCAAAGCGUUGGGCCCGGACGGAAUCUCAAUGGUAAUGUUGAAGCAGCAGGAUACGCCGGGAGUCGAGUACUUUACGAAAGUUCUCAAUUUGUUGCUAGCCACAUUGUGCCCGAAACCUGGAAAAUGGAAUGGCGCUACUGAAGCCAGGCAAGGAUGUCAAUAAAGGCGAAUCGUACAGGCCGAUUUCGCUUUUGUCGCCAGUAGCUAAGAGUCUUGAAUCUUUACUCCUCCCCAGCAUUAGAGGAAGCUAUACAGUUGCCAACCACCAGCACGGAUUUCGUCCACAACAUAGUACCACGACAGCAUUACACGCCAUUUUCACACAUUAUUAGAGGACUGAAUCAGAACAGGCCGUGUGACAGAACAGAGUUGGUAGCCGUUGACCUAACAAAGGCAUUUGAUGCGGUCAAUCAUGCCACACUGUUUGAGGACGCGCAGAGAACUACCCUCCGGCCAAGUUUGAAACGUUGGAUAAUCAACUAUAUGUGUGGACGCCAGUCGUACGUGGAAUUCCGGAACAAGAAGUCAAAAGCCCGUAGAGUGAAACAGGGAGUUCCCCAAGGUGGGGUGAUAUCUCCGGAACUGUUUAACUUCUACCUUUCCGGAAUUCCUCGCCCUCCAGACAGCAUUGAGAUCGUAACGUAUGCGGAUGAUUGUACGAUCAUGGCGUCGGGCCCAGUGGUCGAUGACAUAUGUAAAAGGCUGAACCCCUAUCUCGCGGAACUUGCCGCAUACUUCCACGCGAGGAAUAUGAAAAUAUCCGCCACGAAAUCAACGGCCACACUCUUUACCACAGAAUACACCUGAAUGUGCAGGUCGAGGGGAAUCAAAUACCCACCACGAACUAUCCCAAGAUUCUAGGGGUCACGUUCGACAGCAUGUUCAAGUCAUCCGCGCAAGCCACAGCUAUCUGCGACAAGAUGAAAAGUAGGAACAAGGUCCUACACUAGCCGGCAGCACUUGGGGUGCGGCCAAAGAAACCUUGUUGACCUCUUAUAACGCGAUAGGUCGGUCUGUGGUCAGCUAUGCGGCUCCAGUGUGGUCUGCGAAUACUAGUGCUACGCAGUGGAAGCAUGUCCAGACCUGCCAGAACGCUGCUCUGAGAACUGCGACAGGGUGCCUUCUCAUGACACCAGUGGACCAUCUACAUGAGGAGGCGAAAGUCCUUCCCUUACGUCAGCAUAAUCAUAUGCUUUCGUUGCUGUACCCGCUUAUGGGGGAAAGUUCAAUAGAAGAUUCAUUGACGACUUUCAAAAAUGUCAAUUAAAACAUAAAAUUUACCAUUGGUAUCAAAAACCGACGGAAUCUAGUCGCAUAUUAAAUUUCGAAAACGCGAAAUAUUGGGAACACUUUAUUGUAAUCAAUAAAAAAUAAACUUGCAAUGACGCCUAAAGCUCGAAAAAAUCUUA
Long non-coding RNA from Musca domestica (house fly), 2132 nucleotides. RefSeq lists it as uncharacterized. The transcript has 2 exons. NCBI's taxonomy places the organism in Eukaryota, Metazoa, Arthropoda, Insecta, Diptera, Muscidae. The record is from RefSeq and is a predicted model, not a curated record.